GCCACCUUGGCAUAGUGGUUCGAGCGUUGGACUAUGACUCUGGAGACCAAGGUUUGAAUCCUGGCUCAGCCA
Molecule: non-coding RNA, 72 nt
Organism: Phrynosoma platyrhinos (Desert horned lizard)
Lineage: Eukaryota; Metazoa; Chordata; Lepidosauria; Squamata; Phrynosomatidae
Source: the annotation of a GenBank genome assembly